This 253-nucleotide ribosomal RNA is filed under the name uncultured bacterium. Its description in RNAcentral is "partial 16S ribosomal RNA". It matches the Rfam family "Bacterial small subunit ribosomal RNA", at positions 524 to 776 of the family's 1533-position model. The record is from RNAcentral.
UACGGAGGGUGCAAGCGUUGUCCGGAUUUAUUGGGUUUAAAGGGUGCGUAGGCGGUCUUUUAAGUCAGUGGUGAAAGCCUCCAGCUUAACUGGAGAAAUGCCAUUGAUACUGGGAGACUUGAGUACAGACGAGGUAGGCGGAAUUGACAGUGUAGCGGUGAAAUGCAUAGAUAUUGUCAAGAACACCGAUUGCGAAGGCAGCUUACUAGACUGUAACUGACGCUGAGGCACGAAAGUGUGGGGAUCAAACAGG